RNAcentral lists this ribosomal RNA (253 nucleotides) under uncultured bacterium. RNAcentral's name for it is "partial 16S ribosomal RNA". It matches the Rfam family "Bacterial small subunit ribosomal RNA", at positions 524 to 776 of the family's 1533-position model. The record is from RNAcentral.
GACGUAGGGUGCAGGCGUUGUCCGGAAUUAUUGGGCGUAAAGAGCUCGUAGGCGGUUUGUUGCGUCGGCUGUGAAAUCCCGAGGCUCAACCUCGGGUCUGCAGUCGAUACGAGCAAACUAGAGUGUUGCAGGGGAGACUGGAAUUCCUGGUGUAGCGGUGAAAUGCGCAGAUAUCAGGAGGAACACCGGUGGCGAAGGCGGGUCUCUGGGCAACAACUGACGCUGAGGAGCGAAAGCGUGGGGAGCGAACAGG